AGUGGGGGAUAACCUGGGGAAACCCAGGCUAAUACCGCAUACGUCCUACGGGAGAAAGGGGGCUCCGGCUCCCGCUAUCGGAUGAGCCUAUGUCGGAUUAGCUAGUUGGUGAGGUAAAGGCUCACCAAGGCGACGAUCCGUAGCUGGUCUGAGAGGAUGAUCAGCCACAUCGGGACUGAGACACGGCCCGAACUCCUACGGGAGGCAGCAGUGGGGAAUAUUGGACAAUGGGGGGAACCCUGAUCCAGCCAUGCCGCGUGUGUGAAGAAGGCCCUCGGGUUGUAAAGCACUUUCAGUGAGGAAGAACGCCUGGUGGUUAAUACCCAUCAGGAAAGACAUCACUCACAGAAGAAGCACCGGCUAACUCCGUGCCAGCAGCCGCGGUAAUACGGAGGGUGCGAGCGUUAAUCGGAAUUACUGGGCGUAAAGCGCGCGUAGGUGGCUUGAUAAGCCGGUUGUGAAAGCCCCGGGCUCAACCUGGGAACGGCAUCCGGAACUGUCAAGCUAGAGUGCAGGAGAGGA
RNAcentral lists this ribosomal RNA (522 nucleotides) under uncultured bacterium. RNAcentral describes it as "bacterial SSU rRNA". It matches the Rfam family "Bacterial small subunit ribosomal RNA", at positions 135 to 658 of the family's 1533-position model. The record is from RNAcentral.